GAACAGGAGUUUCAGCGCGGAAGCUGAGACUAACGAGAUGGAAGAGAGACCGUGUGCGAAAAGAGGGAGGACCAAUCGAGAUGAUUGGAACUCUGUCCCCGUUAGCAACGGGCUCUGCCAAUGUGUGCCCACUCCCAUAUAGAAUUGCUCAGUCACGUUAACCUUUUAUCCCCACAGCGCGUGGAGGUAUUACUUUUUCGACUGAUGAGCAAGAGGCUGCCGUGGACCAAGAAUUACCUGCACUGGUAGCUCCGUCUCCGCAAGGGCUGCAAAUACUUGAACUUUUCUUCUGAAAACGCGGUCAAUUUGACUAACCCCUUUGAUGGGGGAAACCCGAUAUCCGGCACGAUUGGGGCGUGGCCAGUGAUAUGACCAGACGCAUCGUGGGCUGUGUCUUCUGCGCGU
This 405-nucleotide long non-coding RNA is filed under the name Toxoplasma gondii VEG. The record is from RNAcentral. Lineage: Eukaryota; Apicomplexa; Conoidasida; Eucoccidiorida; Sarcocystidae.